AUUGAACGCUGGCGGCAGGCCUAACACAUGCAAGUCGAGCGGAUGAAGGGAGCUUGCUCCUGGAUUCAGCGGCGGACGGGUGAGUAAUGCCUAGGAAUCUGCCUGGUAGUGGGGGAUAACGCCCGGAAACGGGCGCUAAUACCGCAUACGUCCUGAGGGAGAAAGUGGGGGAUCUUCGGACCUCACGCUAUCAGAUGAGCCUAGGUCGGAUUAGCUAGUUGGUGGGGUAAAGGCCUACCAAGGCGACGAUCCGUAACUGGUCUGAGAGGAUGAUCAGUCACACUGGAACUGAGACACGGUCCAGACUCCUACGGGAGGCAGCAGUGGGGAAUAUUGGACAAAGGGCGAAAGCCUGAUCCAGCCAUGUCGCGUGUGUGAAGAAGGUCUUCGGAUUGUAAAGCACUUUAAGUUGGGAGGAAGGGCAGUAAGUUAAUACCUUGCUGUUUUGACGUUACCAACAGAAUAAGCACCGGCUAACUUCGUG
RNAcentral lists this ribosomal RNA (484 nucleotides) under uncultured bacterium. RNAcentral's name for it is "partial 16S ribosomal RNA". It matches the Rfam family "Bacterial small subunit ribosomal RNA", at positions 30 to 507 of the family's 1533-position model. The record is from RNAcentral.